AUACCUUGGUGACGGCAUCUCCUUAAAAAAUCUUUGAACUACUCCCAUGCCUCAUAAAGAGAUUCCUCAUCCUGUUGUUGAAAAAAGGUAGUCUCAUUUCAAAGUUU
Humulus lupulus (European hop) is the source of this 107-nucleotide small nucleolar RNA. The record is from RefSeq and is a predicted model, not a curated record. NCBI's taxonomy places the organism in Eukaryota, Viridiplantae, Streptophyta, Magnoliopsida, Rosales, Cannabaceae.